This 432-nucleotide ribosomal RNA is filed under the name uncultured bacterium. RNAcentral's name for it is "bacterial SSU rRNA". It matches the Rfam family "Bacterial small subunit ribosomal RNA", at positions 29 to 504 of the family's 1533-position model. The record is from RNAcentral.
AACGAACGCUGGCGGCAGGCUUAACACAUGCAAGUCGAACGGCUGUAGCAAUACAGCAGUGGCAGACGGGUGAGUAACACGUGGGAACCUUCCUAGGGGUACGGAACAACUCAGGGAAACUUGAGCUAAUACCGUAUACGUCCGUAAGGAGAAAGAUUCAUCGCCCCUAGACGGGCCCGCGUCGGAUUAGGUAGUUGGUGGGGUAACGGCCUACCAAGCCUACGAUCCGUAGCUGAUCUGAGAGGAUGAUCAGCCACACUGGGACUGAGACACGGCCCAGACUCCUACGGGAGGCAGCAGUGGGGAAUCUUGGACAAUGGGCGCAAGCCUGAUCCAGCCAUGCCGCGUGAGUGAAGAAGGCCUUAGGGUUGUAAAGCUCUUUUACCAGGGACGAUAAUGACGGUACCUGGAGAAUAAGCCCCGGCAAACUUC